AGCCUAUUAGCUCAACCGGUAGAGCACUAUGCACCUGCAUAGAGGAUGUAGGUUCGAAUCCUAUGUAGGCUG
Molecule: transfer RNA, 72 nt
Filed under: Spinacia oleracea (spinach)
Lineage: Eukaryota; Viridiplantae; Streptophyta; Magnoliopsida; Caryophyllales; Amaranthaceae
Rfam family: tRNA
About the family: Transfer RNA (tRNA) molecules are approximately 80 nucleotides in length. Their secondary structure includes four short double-helical elements and three loops (D, anti-codon, and T loops).
Source: Rfam by way of RNAcentral